ACAAUUAUAAUUUAACCAAAAUAUUUGACUUCCAAUCAUAAAAUGUAAAUAAAACUAUACUAAUUGUA
This 68-nucleotide transfer RNA is filed under the name Caulophacus iocasicus. RNAcentral's name for it is "tRNA-Gly". It matches the Rfam family "tRNA". Rfam says of the family: Transfer RNA (tRNA) molecules are approximately 80 nucleotides in length. The record is from RNAcentral. Lineage: Eukaryota; Metazoa; Porifera; Hexactinellida; Lyssacinosida; Rossellidae.